This 69-nucleotide transfer RNA is filed under the name Hyloscirtus armatus (armed treefrog). RNAcentral's name for it is "tRNA-Val". It matches the Rfam family "tRNA". Rfam says of the family: Transfer RNA (tRNA) molecules are approximately 80 nucleotides in length. Their secondary structure includes four short double-helical elements and three loops (D, anti-codon, and T loops). Lineage: Eukaryota; Metazoa; Chordata; Amphibia; Anura; Hylidae. The record is from RNAcentral.
CAAGAUGUAGCUUAAUUAAAUCACCUCGCUUACACCGAGAAAAUAUUUGUGCAACUCAAAUCAUUUUGA